GAUGAACGCUAGCGGCAGGCCUAAUACAUGCAAGUCGAACGGGAUUGGAGAGCUUGCUUUCCAUGAGAGCGGCGUACGGGUGCGUAAACGCGUAUGCAAACCUACCUUCAAUCAGGGGGAUAGCCCGAAGAAAUUCGGAUUAACACCGCAUAACAUUAUUGAAUGGCAUCAUUUAAUAAAUCAAAAUAUUUUAUAGGAUGAAAGAUGGGGCAUGCGUGUCAUUUAGCUAGUUGGCGAGGUAACGGCUCACCAAGGCGACGAUGACUAGGGGAUCUGAGAGGAUGACCCCCCACACUGGUACUGAGACACGGACCAGACUCCUACGGGAGGCAGCAGUAAGGAAUAUU
This 347-nucleotide ribosomal RNA is filed under the name uncultured bacterium. RNAcentral describes it as "bacterial SSU rRNA". It matches the Rfam family "Bacterial small subunit ribosomal RNA", at positions 28 to 365 of the family's 1533-position model. The record is from RNAcentral.